AACAGGGUUUCCGUAGGUGAACCUGCGGAAGGAUCAUUG
This 39-nucleotide ribosomal RNA is filed under the name Gomphrena bicolor. The record is from RNAcentral. Lineage: Eukaryota; Viridiplantae; Streptophyta; Magnoliopsida; Caryophyllales; Amaranthaceae.